RNAcentral lists this transfer RNA (72 nucleotides) under Chamaeleo chamaeleon (common chameleon). RNAcentral describes it as "tRNA-Phe". The record is from RNAcentral. RNAcentral also lists the same sequence under 1 other name. Lineage: Eukaryota; Metazoa; Chordata; Lepidosauria; Squamata; Chamaeleonidae.
GUUAUUGUAGCUUAAAAAAAUUAAAGCAUAGUAUUGAAAAUACUGAAAUGGGCCGACAACGCCCCAAAAACA